GGCCGGGCUCGGAGGCUCGCGGCCGGAGCGGAGCGGAGUGCGCACGCCGGGGUGGCAGGACUUCGGCAAGACCAACUUUCCGGUUCGGAAGCGGCGCGGGCCGCGCGGCUCCUCCCCUCCUCUCCCUCCCCUGCGUUCCCCCUCCCUUCCACUCCCCCCUCUCCCCGCCCCCCAACCCGCGGGCCCCACCGACUCCGGAGCGCCCGCCCCGCCCGCUGCUGCCACCGGGCCGCCUCGCCCCCGCGCCAGCCCGCCUGGGCCUCUGCGCCGCCGGCGGCUUCUUAAAUACAGGAAAGGGAGGGGACCGCAGGGCCCCGGUGUUCCCCACCCUAGUCCCCCUUCACCACGGGCCACCGGGCGCCAGCGGAGUGGGCAGCGAGCGCGACCGAAAGUUCCAACUCCACCAAACUCCCGCGCGCGGCCCACCCUUUCCCGGGAUUUCGGGGAUGACACGGGGGCCAGUGGUCCUGUCUGGUGUGAACCGUCAGCACAGAUGGCCUCCUGGAGCUUCCCCGAGUCGUUCGCUGGGGGAAGCGGGCGGAUUAAGGAGUUUGGGGAAGUCGCAGAGCUGCAGCGGAAAGGCAGGGGUCUGAGACUACUUUUGAGAAGAGAAACAACGCAAAACGAUCGCUGGAGGGCCAGAGCCCUGGUCGAAGAAGCAGACACAGGUUCCCACGGCGUCUGACGCCUGCGGAGCAAGUCCAGAGCCAGCUGGACUCGCAGCCUCUGGCCCGGCGGCACCAACUCCUCACUGGGUCAUUUUGAGCGCGCUGUGCCCACCUUUUCUGUUGCGUGUGGACGUGGGGAGGAUCUUCUAAGUCCCUCCAACGAAGGCAAGUGUGAGACUCUGGCCCUUUAUUUGUAAGAAGCAAGCCUUCAGAUUGCAGAAGUGUCGCGCGGGUCGCCGUGCGUUGCGCGAGUGGGAAGAUGGAGGAGGCCGGCACGCUGCUUUCGUGGACGCAAGUGAACCGGGCGUGAAGGCAGGGUGCGAGCUCUGCCCUUGGCCCAGCCCUGCGUGGGCGCCGUCCCAGAUUCCGGGCGGUGCGGGGUGCAGAGAUCUGGAGAGACUUGCGGGCUCCCCAGCGCAGGCUGCUCUGGGAUUUCGUUGGAAGAUCCGGCAGAGCCUUGGAGGAGAGGGCCCGGGAGGCUGUGUGUGCAGCGGAAACUUGUACGAAUGCCCCCACAGCGGAAAUGGUGCGCACGAGUAAUUUCUGCGGUGCACCCUUUUAAAAAUUGACAAGUGAACAAGAUCAAUUUUUUAAGAAAGCAAAGGUAGAAAACAAAAGGCGUGCGACUUCUUGACUGGCUUGUUCCCGCCUUUCUUCCUUCUCUAUACUCAGAUCAGAAACUUUUCUUUAAUUGCUCUUAUUCAGUGCGACAACUUUUAAUAAAAGCAUUUGCAUUUUAAGCCUGAGUUGCAACCAUAGAUUUAUUGCGAAGUGACAACGUGUCUAUGGAAUAUUUUCGCAGAUGAGACAGGACAUGCGCUCUAGUCGUGCCCAGAUUAAAGCGACGCUGGGCCAUGUGCCUGUGUAGUGCAGACUCGGAGGGGCACACACAUACUCGUCACCACAUGACCACUGUCUAUUAAUAUUGUCAUACCUAAACACUCGCAAAAACAAAAGUUGCUUUUCUUCCCUGUAAUUAAAUCUAAUUUG
This 1658-nucleotide long non-coding RNA is filed under the name Homo sapiens (human). RNAcentral's name for it is "HSALNT0253720". Lineage: Eukaryota; Metazoa; Chordata; Mammalia; Primates; Hominidae. The record is from RNAcentral.